RNAcentral lists this long non-coding RNA (433 nucleotides) under Trifolium pratense (red clover). RNAcentral's name for it is "long non-coding RNA (TPRA_LNC012038)". Lineage: Eukaryota; Viridiplantae; Streptophyta; Magnoliopsida; Fabales; Fabaceae. The record is from RNAcentral.
AGAUUUCCAAGAUCCCAUUUGGAAUGAAUUUGCUAUCCAUGAAAACAAACACCCCCAAAGGUAAUGAUAUUGUGCUUGGUUCAUACAUCCCAAACCUAACAUGGAACUACAGCUAUUGAAAUUUUUGAGCAAAUCAGGUUAUAUAUGAAUUUACUCUAACCAGUAAGCAUAACAUUCGCAAACAUAAACCACAUAAUUUAUCAUAAGCAUCGCAUUGGAGUACAUCAGAGAGUAUUCAUUCAAACAAAGCUAAAAUAAAAUCCUAAGUUACACAACAUCAGUUGACAAGGCAGUAUUCAUUCAAACAAAGCUGAAAUAAAAUCCUAAGUUACACAACAUCAGUUGACAAGGCAGUAAGUAGUCCAUGUUACUCUGCAACUUUCUUCUUCUUAGGCAUUCUGUAACCACCAACAACACAAGCAUGGUCCCUCUC